CGAAAAGCGAAGACAAGAAGUAGUAAUGAGGCAGAAUUUCUAAAGAGAGCCAGUGGGUGGUGUGAACUGGUGAAGUUUCCUUAUGAAUCCAUCUUGGAGUGAGUGGUGGAAAGCAUAAUUUUGCGAGUAAAUCAUUCCGGUUGGGUCCGUUAAACCUAAAUGAAGCUGGGGAUUUUUGAAGUCCCAAUAAGGGUGGCAACGCGGUUAACUCUCGUCCCUUUC
RNAcentral lists this non-coding RNA (222 nucleotides) under Listeria monocytogenes. RNAcentral describes it as "T-box". It matches the Rfam family "T-box leader". Rfam says of the family: Uncharged tRNA acts as the effector for transcription antitermination of genes in the T-box leader family. T-boxes are found upstream of many aminoacyl-tRNA synthetase genes and some amino acid biosynthetic genes usually in Gram-positive bacteria. Lineage: Bacteria; Bacillati; Bacillota; Bacilli; Caryophanales; Listeriaceae. The record is from RNAcentral.